CACUCUCACGUGAGAAAGCGUCCAGCAGGAGGGCGGCGGUGCCGGCAAAAUGGCUCGGUAGCUUUGCGCAGUGGCAGUAUCGUAGCCAAUGAGGUUUAUCCGAGGCGCGAUUAUUGCUAAUUGAAAACUUUUCCCAAUACCCCGCCUUGACGACUUGAAAUAUAGUCGGCAAUGGCAAUUUUUGACGGUCUCUACGGAGACUGAUUUCCUCGGUUUGAAAGAUUAGAGAAGAUCGGCGCUCGAGGCCUCGUCUGCGGGUGACGACGGAGGGCUCUUCUGCUUCUCUGUAUCCGUUGUUCUUCGUGUGUCCCUGUGUCGUUGUGCGUUAGGGCAACAGCUGUGAACGGCGUGACGGUUGCCGAGAGCCUAGGCUGCCAUUCCGGCUCUUACUCUCCUUUUAGCCCAGCUUCCUGUAAACCCAGAUUUCAGCCUCACAGCUCGUGGUGAUACUGAAAAGGAGAAAGAAGGGAAGCCGUUGAACCGAGAGCUACUGCAGCAACACAAGGACUCUUGAAACCAUGCUGCCCGGCUCUCCUACCAAGUCCCCGUGGCCUUCAAAGGGCAGGCAGAAUUUGCAGCUGUUGGGCAGAAACGAAACCGGCUGAUGAGGCCACAUCCGGAGUCUUGUGGCCUGUUGGCAGAAAGCUGGCCCUUUGCCAGGAGAUCCCUAGAGGGAUGGAGAGCCGAGACCCACCGAUGGAUGCCGUGGGUGGAUUGAAAGCGAGCAGUCAGGGUGCAGGAAGGAAGGAAGGAGAGAGAUCUAGAGGGCAGUCAAAAAAGUCAAGAUGGCGGCUUUGCCAGUUGAACCUGAAACACUCCAAGAAAGCCUCCUUUCCAGGGGCAGCAGCUGCUCCAGGCCUGAGUGGAAAGUCGUCUCCCUUCGUACCAAAUGCUCCCGGCUGGCUGUUUCCUCGCCUUCUGCUUCUUGAGAGCAAUUCCCUUUCAAGUGGGCUUCUCAGCCAAAGCUGCCCCUCCGCCUGAACCUCAGAGCAGCCCCUUCGGAUUACUUGGAUGCGGAGUCCGGAUCCAGCCCAGCUGCUGAUUUCUCCAGAAUGAUUCCCUCCACACGGCUGCCGCUUCCAACAGAGGUCAGCCUUGCUUGGGAGGUGAGCUCACUUACAGUUCCUUUCUGAAAUUAUUUUGAAAUUAUAACCAUUCUGGGCAGAAGGGGAGGCAUGAAUAAAUAACAUUCUUAUUUUA
Pantherophis guttatus is the source of this 1200-nucleotide non-coding RNA. The record is from RefSeq and is a predicted model, not a curated record. NCBI's taxonomy places the organism in Eukaryota, Metazoa, Chordata, Lepidosauria, Squamata, Colubridae.